This 85-nucleotide transfer RNA is filed under the name Candidatus Peribacteria bacterium. RNAcentral's name for it is "tRNA-Leu". It matches the Rfam family "tRNA". From Rfam's summary of the family: Transfer RNA (tRNA) molecules are approximately 80 nucleotides in length. The record is from RNAcentral. Lineage: Bacteria; Candidatus Peregrinibacteriota; Candidatus Peribacteria.
GCCCGGGUGAUGAAAUUGGUAGACAUGAGGGACUCAAAAUCCCUUGGUGCGAGCCGUGUGGGUUCAAGUCCCACUCCGGGCACCA